UGCUGGACACUGGUGACCCAAAGAUGAUGAUAAAUAUGUUCCUGUCCACAAGGAGCUAGCGAUCCACUGGGGGUUCCUCUUGCUGAUGACACAAUUCCUGUGUGAAUCUGUUUAUAAGAUUCUGAAAGCUGAACAGAGAAUUUUGGCACUGCACUGGGUAAGAAAAAGCAUUGCAAGAAGUAGAUAACAUCAAGGACAUCAGGAGUGGGAGAGAGUGGCCUGGGAGGCUCAGCAGGUCAGGACAUUUCCAUUAUCAUUUGCUGUUUGUUCUUUUACCAUCAAUUCUAGAAUUCUCAAGUCUCUUGCCACUUGUUUCUUUCUUGA
Suricata suricatta (meerkat) is the source of this 324-nucleotide long non-coding RNA. RefSeq lists it as uncharacterized. Lineage: Eukaryota; Metazoa; Chordata; Mammalia; Carnivora; Herpestidae. The record is from RefSeq and is a predicted model, not a curated record. The transcript is spliced from 3 exons.